GACGAACGCUGGCGGCGUGCCUAAUACAUGCAAGUCGAACGCACUCUCGUUUAGAUUGACGGAGUUUGCUCCUGAUUGAUAAACAUUUGAGUGAGUGGCGGACGGGUGAGUAACACGUGGGUAACCUGCCCUAAAGUGGGGGAUCACAUUUGGAAACAGAUGCUCAUACCGCAUAAAACCUAACACCGCAUGGUGUAGGGUUGAAAGAUGGUUUCGGCUAUCACUUUAGGAUGGACCCGCGGUGCAUUAGUUAGUUGGUGAGGUAAAGGCUCACCAAGACCGUGAUGCAUAGCCGACCUGAGAGGGUAAUCGGCCACACUGGGACUGAGACACGGCCCAGACUCCUACGGGAGGCAGCAGUAGGGAAUCUUCCACAAUGGACGAAAGUCUGAUGGAGCAACGCCGCGUGAGUGAAGAAGGUUUUCGGAUCGUAAAACUCUGUUGUUGGAGAAGAAUGUAUCUGAUAGUAACUGAUCAGGUAGUGACGGUAUCCAACCAGAAAGCCACGGCUAACUACGUG
Molecule: ribosomal RNA, 520 nt
Filed under: uncultured bacterium
Lineage: Bacteria
Description: partial 16S ribosomal RNA
Rfam family: Bacterial small subunit ribosomal RNA
Source: RNAcentral